This 503-nucleotide long non-coding RNA is filed under the name Ananas comosus (pineapple). RNAcentral's name for it is "long non-coding RNA (ACOM_LNC009400)". The record is from RNAcentral. Lineage: Eukaryota; Viridiplantae; Streptophyta; Magnoliopsida; Poales; Bromeliaceae.
UUGAUUUGGAAUUUGAAAUUAACAUAGUUAGAAAUAUAAAGUAAUUAAAUUUUGAACUUGGAAUUUUUGAUAUCAAUUAUUAAAUUUUUCUGUAGCUGAUAUUAAGUCUGAAGAAACAAAGAUUGCAAGAAAAGUGCUAGAUUUGUUGGAAAUUCGGUACUCGCCCCGGUACCGGACUUUGAGAAUUCGCAAUCCGCUCCGAUACCAACUGCUGUGGAUCCGAUAUCAAUUGUUGGAAUUCUGCAACGAAAACAUCAAAUCGAAUUUUUACUACUAUAAAUCUGUCUUCUCAGCAAAAACUGAUAUAAUCACAAAAGAUAGAAAAAAUCAAAACAGAAAAUAUACGAAUAAAAUAAGAUUCAUUAAAUAAGAGAAGAUUAUACAUGACUUCUCUUCUGUAUAGAGUAGCUACAAUUCGAACCCUCUUUCUAAAUCUCUUCUAUCUUUCUCUCGUUUUCUAUAAACUCACAAAAAAGACAUUCUUCACGUGCACCCGUACACAA